This is a long non-coding RNA of Girardinichthys multiradiatus, 633 nucleotides long. RefSeq lists it as uncharacterized. The transcript has 4 exons. Lineage: Eukaryota; Metazoa; Chordata; Actinopteri; Cyprinodontiformes; Goodeidae. The record is from RefSeq and is a predicted model, not a curated record.
CAAUAACAUCAGCUUUCUUAUGAUGCAAUGAAUUUCUGUGGCUGGUAAUUUUCCGGAGGCUCUUCUGUCUUCUUAUGGAACGGAGUGUGUAGGAUGAGACAGAUAGUUCUGCUCCUGAACUUGCUGUAACCAACGGGUGAGACCAGCUCUGGUGCAGCUGAGAUAAGCAGGGUUACUUCUUACUUUGCUAGAUGACCACCCUAAGGGCGCCAAUAUAAACACCAUGCUGUGAAACAUUUUCCUCCAACACCCAACCUUCACUCAACUUAUGGUUUUGCCGCACAUACUGUCCUGUGGAUGUUUGAGGAGCAGGCAGCACAUCAUCCACCGGCGGUGGUUGACUGAGGAAGAGGCCGCUAGAUUUACAGGUCCACUCUACCUUUUCAAGCAGCCUGAUGUUGCUGCUGACAGACUCUUGACUUUCUCUAAGUGAGAGUGAGUUGUUGCUUAUCCUCCAGACUCCAACUAUGAACUAAAGGCUUUGCUCUUUCUGCCUCUUUCAUCACCUCUGCUUCAGUUCAUUCCAACUAAGGCCAAAGCCAUGUCAUUGUUUUUAUUUUUCAUCUCAUAGAUUUAUAAGGUAAAUAAUAAAAACUGAAUUAAUUAAUAACUCUAAAAUAAAAACAAAGUGUU